GCGUCUGAAGCUCAAUGGAUAGAGCAUUUGUUUCCUAAGCAGAAGGUCAUAGGUUUGACCCCUACCUGACGCG
Spinacia oleracea (spinach) is the source of this 73-nucleotide non-coding RNA. Lineage: Eukaryota; Viridiplantae; Streptophyta; Magnoliopsida; Caryophyllales; Amaranthaceae. The record is from Rfam.